Gorilla gorilla gorilla (western lowland gorilla) is the source of this 290-nucleotide long non-coding RNA. RefSeq lists it as uncharacterized. The record is from RefSeq and is a predicted model, not a curated record. NCBI's taxonomy places the organism in Eukaryota, Metazoa, Chordata, Mammalia, Primates, Hominidae. The transcript is spliced from 2 exons.
ACCUUGAGCUAUCAGGAAAGCAGUCCAGCUAUUCUGAGCCUCCAUGAUGGAAAUACAACAUGGCAAGAUUACAUGGAGAUAGAGAUGCUUAUAGAGUCAUUAUUGUUCCAGCUUAUAGUUGUUGAAUUUUCCCAGUGCAAGUGCCACAAAUGCUAAAGACCAUGUAAGACGUGUCGCUUCACCUUGGCCUUCCAUCAUGAUUGAAAGUUCCCUGAGGCCUCCCCAGCUAUACUUCCUAUAACAGCCUGCAGAACUAUCAGCCAAUUAAAACUUUUUUUCUUUAUAAAUUA